CAACUGGGGAAUACCUUAGUACGGCGAGUGAAGCGGUAAAAGCUCAAAUUUGAAAUCUGGUACUUUCAGUGCCCGAGUUGUAAUUUGUAGAAUUUGUCUUUGAUUAGGUCCUUGUCUAUGUUCCUUGGAACAGGACGUCAUAGAGGGUGAGAAUCCCGUUUGGCGAGGAUACCUUUUCUCUGUAAGACUUUUUCGAAGAGUCGAGUUGUUUGGGAAUGCAGCUCAAAGUGGGUGGUAAAUUCCAUCUAAAGCUAAAUAUUGGCGAGAGACCGAUAGCGAACAAGUACAGUGAUGGAAAGAUGAAAAGAACUUUGAAAAGAGAGUGAAAAAGUACGUGAAAUUGUUGAAAGGGAAGGGCAUUUGAUCAGACAUGGUGUUUUUUGCAUGCACUCGCCUCUCGUGGGCUUGGGCCUCUCAAAAAUUUCACUGGGCCAACAUCAAUUCUGGCAGCAGGAUAAAUCAUUAAGAAUGUAGCUACUUCGGUAGUGUUAUAGCUUUUUGGAAUACUGUUAGCCGGGAUUGAGGACUGCGCUUCGGCAAGGAUGUUGGCAUAAUGGUUAAAUGCCGCCGUGAAAACAGGGGCCAAAAAAAAAAGGGUAAAGGGAGGGGGUUGGGGGG
RNAcentral lists this ribosomal RNA (618 nucleotides) under Hanseniaspora uvarum. RNAcentral describes it as "partial 26S ribosomal RNA". It matches the Rfam family "Eukaryotic large subunit ribosomal RNA", at positions 66 to 664 of the family's 3401-position model. Lineage: Eukaryota; Fungi; Ascomycota; Saccharomycetes; Saccharomycodales; Saccharomycodaceae. The record is from RNAcentral.